CUAAUCAUGAGAACUUAAUUAAUUAUUGUUUAAUGGUUUUGGAAUUAUUAUUUAAGUACUAAAUAAGGGUUUAUUAGUAUUCUAAUCUAACAAUAUCCAAAUGCCACCAAAAUUUGGGUGGAGUCAGGGAAUAAUAUUCAGAGGCUCCCCACAAUUUUUGGUGAUUUUUGGACAUACAAAUAAAUUAUUAUAAAUCAUACAAGUUUCAUUUGCUAAUUAAAAGGGCAAAUUUUUACAGACAUGUAAACUACCAGAAAACAGAAUCCACUAUUUUUCUUGUGUCCUACUUAUUUCAGGGAAUAUACACAAAAAUUUUCAUGAUUUUUGGAUCAACCUACAAUUUUCUACACAAUUUCAAACAUUCAGCAAAAAAAAAAUUGCACAAAAGGAAAAAAGAAAAAGAUUUUUCGCGCGGCGGGCGGCCUGGAACUUGGCCCGCAAGCCGGCCCACGCGCGCUCGGCCUGCUCACGCGCCGCGC
This 479-nucleotide long non-coding RNA is filed under the name Sorghum bicolor (sorghum). RNAcentral describes it as "long non-coding RNA (SBIC_LNC005028)". The record is from RNAcentral. Lineage: Eukaryota; Viridiplantae; Streptophyta; Magnoliopsida; Poales; Poaceae.